RNAcentral lists this ribosomal RNA (244 nucleotides) under uncultured Staphylococcus sp. Its description in RNAcentral is "partial 16S ribosomal RNA". It matches the Rfam family "Bacterial small subunit ribosomal RNA", at positions 96 to 334 of the family's 1533-position model. Lineage: Bacteria; Bacillati; Bacillota; Bacilli; Caryophanales; Staphylococcaceae. The record is from RNAcentral.
CGGCGGACGGGUGAGUAACACGUGGAUAACCUACCUAUAAGACUGGGAUAACUUCGGGAAACCGGAGCUAAUACCGGAUAAUAUAUUGAACCGCAUGGUUCAAUAGUGAAAGACGGUUUUGCUGUCACUUAUAGAUGGAUCCGCGCCGCAUUAACUAGUUGGUAAGGUAACGGCUUACCAAGGCAACGAUGCGUAGCCGACCUGAGAGGGUGAUCGGCCACACUGGAACUGAGACACGGUCCAG